GUAGUGUACUCGCCCCGUUAGCGUUCAGUAGCAGUCGAACUGUGAUAAGCAUUGCAGGUGAAAUUUUCUACGAUCAAAAUCGUUAAGCGUUCAAAAAAACAUCGUAAAAUGGCGAAAUUGCAGAUUCGUGUUGUAUAUUGUGGAGCCUGAGGCUAUCGGGGGAAGUUCAACAAGCUCAAACAGGAGCUUGAAGGACUCUUCCCAGGUCAACUAGAUAUUACAGGAGAAGGCACCCCUGGAGUCACUGGCUACUUUGAAGUGCAAAUUGUAGGUGGCAAACUUCUUCAUUCCAAGAAGAAUGGGAAUGGCUUUGUGGAUUCACCUGCCAAGAUGCAGACCAUUGUUGAUGGUGUUAAGGCUGCUUUAGCUGAUUAACCAUAAAUCUUCAUCCUGCUUCUGCCAACAUGAAAGUUUGUGUUUUCCAGCAAUUUUGAUAAUCUUAAGUGACAAGAAUGAAGAAACUGAUUAAAAAACAAUUGUUCUGUUAGUUUCUGAUGGUUUAUUGUUUACUUGUUUUAUUGAAAGAACCUUGGUAAAUACAAACUGUAACUGCCCCCACUA
Long non-coding RNA from Daphnia carinata, 561 nucleotides. RefSeq lists it as uncharacterized. The transcript has 5 exons. The record is from RefSeq and is a predicted model, not a curated record. Lineage: Eukaryota; Metazoa; Arthropoda; Branchiopoda; Diplostraca; Daphniidae.